UUUUUGCUAGAUUUUUUAAUUUAGUUCACAUGAUUUAUUUUGCUUUGGAUUUACUUGCUCUUUAUAAAAUAAAUUUGUUGGCAUAAAGGAGUCAACAUUCUGUCUGUAGCGGGAAGCUAGAUUGGAUUAGUCAUAUUCGAAAUGACGAGAGAUUGGAUUAAGCCGAGUCAUAUUCAAAAUGGUGUGAGGCUGGUUGAGUUGAGUUAUAAUCGAAAUUCGUGGGUAUUAUAUCUAUAUAUUUUAAGUGAAUUGGUUGUAUAUUUCUGACCGCUCGAAUUUUUGAAAUUAAUGAUUAGUGUCAAUGAUCAUUAAAGUUUCCGUUAAGCAUCGAAUUUGUAUAAUUUAAUAAAGAAAACCUAUCCAACUC
RNAcentral lists this long non-coding RNA (367 nucleotides) under Ananas comosus (pineapple). RNAcentral describes it as "long non-coding RNA (ACOM_LNC030767)". Lineage: Eukaryota; Viridiplantae; Streptophyta; Magnoliopsida; Poales; Bromeliaceae. The record is from RNAcentral.